Molecule: ribosomal RNA, 492 nt
Filed under: uncultured bacterium
Lineage: Bacteria
Description: partial 16S ribosomal RNA
Rfam family: Bacterial small subunit ribosomal RNA
Source: RNAcentral
GGUGAACGCUGGCGGUAGGCCUAACACAUGCAAGUCGAACGGCAGCACAGUAAGAGCUUGCUCUUACGGGUGGCGAGUGGCGGACGGGUGAGGAAUACAUCGGAAUCUACUUUUUCGUGGGGGAUAACGUAGGGAAACUUACGCUAAUACCGCAUACGACCUACGGGUGAAAGCAGGGGAUCUUCGGACCUUGCGCGAUUGAAUGAGCCGAUGUCGGAUUAGCUAGUUGGCGGGGUGAAGGCCCACCAAGGCGACGAUCCGUAGCUGGUCUGAGAGGAUGAUCAGCCACACUGGAACUGAGACACGGUCCAGACUCCUACGGGAGGCAGCAGUGGGGAAUAUUGGACAAUGGGCGCAAGCCUGAUCCAGCCAUACCGCGUGGGUGAAGAAGGCCUUCGGGUUGUAAAGCCCUUUUGUUGGGAAAGAAAAGCAGCAGGUUAAUACCCCGCUGUUCUGACGGUACCCAAAGAAUAAGCACCGGCUAACUUCGUG